GGUUGAUCCUGCCAGUAGUCAUAUGCUUGUCUCAAAGAUUAAGCCAUGCAUGUCUAAGUAUAAGCGAGAUUAUACAGCGAGACUGCGGAUGGCUCAUUAAAUCAGUUAUAGUUUAUUUGAUGGUUCCUUUUUACUACUCGGAUAACCGUAGUAAUCCUAGAGCUAAUACGUGCAUAAAACCUCGACUAGGGGCAACCCUUGGAAGAGGCGUAUUUAUUAGAUAAAAAACCGGCACAGGGUAUUAAACAAACUAUGAUAGAGAUAUAUGGGAUAAGGGGUAUAAACAACUCUUU
This 293-nucleotide ribosomal RNA is filed under the name uncultured eukaryote. Its description in RNAcentral is "partial 18S ribosomal RNA". It matches the Rfam family "Eukaryotic small subunit ribosomal RNA", at positions 6 to 289 of the family's 1831-position model. The record is from RNAcentral.